UACAGAGGCCUCGAGCGUUAGGCGGAAUCACUGGGCUUAAAGCGUGUGUAGGUGGAUGCCUAAGUGCCUUGUGAAAUCCCACGGCCUAACCGUGGAAUUGCUGGGCAUACUGGGUGUCUUGAGCCAUCUAGGGGCGACUGGAACAAACGGUGGAGCGGUGAAAUGCGUAGAUAUCGUGUGGAACGCCAAUGGUGAAAACAGGCCGCUGGGGAUGGGCUGACGCUGAGACACGAAAGCCAGGGGAGCAAACGGG
This 253-nucleotide ribosomal RNA is filed under the name uncultured bacterium. RNAcentral describes it as "partial 16S ribosomal RNA". It matches the Rfam family "Bacterial small subunit ribosomal RNA", at positions 524 to 776 of the family's 1533-position model. The record is from RNAcentral.